This 310-nucleotide ribosomal RNA is filed under the name Paracoccaceae bacterium. Its description in RNAcentral is "bacterial SSU rRNA". It matches the Rfam family "Bacterial small subunit ribosomal RNA", at positions 1 to 327 of the family's 1533-position model. The record is from RNAcentral. Lineage: Bacteria; Pseudomonadati; Pseudomonadota; Alphaproteobacteria; Rhodobacterales; Paracoccaceae.
CAACUUGAGAGUUUGAUCCUGGCUCAGAACGAACGCUGGCGGCAGGCCUAACACAUGCAAGUCGAGCGCAGUGAUGAUUUUCGGAUUAUCACCGAGCGGCGGACGGGUUAGUAACGCGUGGGAAUGUACCCUUCUCUACGGAAUAGCCAUUGGAAACGAUGAUUAAUACCGUAUACGCCCUUCGGGGGAAAGAUUUAUCGGAGAAGGAUCAGCCCGCGUAAGAUUAGAUAGUUGGUGAGGUAACGGCUCACCAAGUCAACGAUCUUUAGCUGGUUUGAGAGGAUGAUCAGCAACACUGGGACUGAGACAC